Molecule: ribosomal RNA, 301 nt
Filed under: uncultured bacterium
Lineage: Bacteria
Description: partial 16S ribosomal RNA
Rfam family: Bacterial small subunit ribosomal RNA
Source: RNAcentral
CAGUCGCCGCGGUAAUACGUAGGGUGCGAGCGUUAAUCGGAAUUACUGGGCGUAAAGCGUGCGCAGGCGGUUCGUUAAGACAGAUGUGAAAUCCCCGGGCUUAACCUGGGAACUGCAUUUGUGACUGGCGGGCUAGAGUAUGGCAGAGGGGGGUAGAAUUCCACGUGUAGCAGUGAAAUGCGUAGAGAUGUGGAGGAAUACCGAUGGCGAAGGCAGCCCCCUGGGCCAAUACUGACGCUCAUGCACGAAAGCGUGGGGAGCAAACAGGAUUAGAUACCCCUGUAGUCCCUGUCUCUUAUAA